Molecule: long non-coding RNA, 538 nt
Organism: Vombatus ursinus (common wombat)
Lineage: Eukaryota; Metazoa; Chordata; Mammalia; Diprotodontia; Vombatidae
Exons: 3
Source: RefSeq, a predicted model, not a curated record
GCUGCAUGUAACUGAUGGCUCCAUUCCAAAAACAAACAGCUUUGUUGCAAGGAGGGAAGAAGCUCUCAAGGAUAAGUUGACUUCUGGAGGUUCCCUCACCCUUCAUAUCUGAGCAUCGGAACAAGUAGGCUCUCACCGUGAUGGGUAAAGGGGACAGAGAGCCUGAAUCCCUCAAGUCCCCUCCCCCAGCUGGAGCUAAGAAGUACCCAAGCCCAGAAGCUGCAAUGCAGACAUCUGGUACAUAAACACCUCAUCUUCCUGCCUCUCCUUGGCAUCCCUACUGCCUACGUGCCAUCUGGUGGUGGUUGGAGGCUACUGAAUGUUACUGGAGAAAGUUUUGCAUAACCUGUGUCCAUCUGUGCCAUGUAUGUACUCUUCUUAUAUGAUUAUUUACCUUUUGGCCCACAAUGAUGAUGAUUCAUCUUGAAAGAGAGCCUGAGGACCUGUCCUUUUCCCUUCCCAGGAAAGUCAGGGAUCUUACACUUGACAUAUAUUGAGUUUUGUUUUGUUUUAUUUUGGAGGCAAUUGGGGAUAAGUG